Callorhinus ursinus (northern fur seal) is the source of this 274-nucleotide long non-coding RNA. RefSeq lists it as uncharacterized. The record is from RefSeq and is a predicted model, not a curated record. Lineage: Eukaryota; Metazoa; Chordata; Mammalia; Carnivora; Otariidae.
CCUGGCGGUUCCUGUCUGUCUAUCAGAGGAGACUCUAAGUCACUGUCAUCCAAGAAGUCCCCAACAGAGGCUAAGCGCUAUACAAUACUGAAGGAGAAUGAACAAGGCUGAACCUUACCGUAUUGAGCUAGGAAAAAUUCACAUGCUAAUGAAAAAAAAGAAGAAGCCAGGUAACUUAAGGAAGGAUACUACAGUACAAUAGCACUCAGGAAAGGAAGAGGAUGGAACUCCAGGGGCACAAAAGAAAAAAAAAAUAACAAAAUAAAAUAAAAAG